UACGGAGGGUGCGAGCGUUGUUCGGAGUUACUGGGCGUAAAGGGUGUGUAGGCGGUUGUUUAAGUUUGGUGUGAAAUCUCCCGGCUCAACUGGGAGGGUGCGCCGAAUACUGAAUGACUUCGAGUGCGGGAGAGGAGAGUGGAAUUCCUGGUGUAGCGGUGAAAUGCGUAGAUAUCAGGAGGAACACCGGUGGUGUAGACGGCUCUCUGGACCGUAACUGACGCUGAGACACGAAAGCGUGGGUAGCAAACAGG
Molecule: ribosomal RNA, 254 nt
Filed under: uncultured bacterium
Lineage: Bacteria
Description: partial 16S ribosomal RNA
Rfam family: Bacterial small subunit ribosomal RNA
Source: RNAcentral